GGAUCUCUUGGUUCUCGCAUCGAUGAAGAACGCAGCGAAAUGCGAUAAGUAGUGUGAAUUGCAGAAUUCCGUGAGUCAUCGAAUCUUUGAACGCACAUUGCGCCU
Molecule: ribosomal RNA, 105 nt
Filed under: Geopora clausa
Lineage: Eukaryota; Fungi; Ascomycota; Pezizomycetes; Pezizales; Pyronemataceae
Description: 5.8S ribosomal RNA
Rfam family: 5.8S ribosomal RNA
About the family: 5.8S ribosomal RNA (5.8S rRNA) is a component of the large subunit of the eukaryotic ribosome.
Source: RNAcentral